GACGAACGCUGGCGGCGUGCUUAACACAUGCAAGUCGAACGCUGAGGCUCUGCUUUUGUUGGGUGGUCGAGUGGCGAACGGGUGAGUAACACGUGAGUAACCUGCCCCUUUCUUUGGGAUAACGCCCGGAAACGGGUGCUAAUACCGGAUAUUCGCUGGUGUUCGCUUGGGGGUUGGGGGAAGUGGCGUUUGUUGGGGGUGGUCGCGUGGCUGAUCAGCUGGUUGGUGGGGGGGUGGGUGCCCAAGGGUGUGUCGGAUAGCCGGCCUGCGAGGGGGCCCGGGAACAUGGGGAGUGAGAUACGGCCCAGACUCCGACGGGAGGCAGCAGUGGGGAAUAUUGCGCAAAGGGCGCAAGCAUGAUGCAGCGACGCCGCGUGAGGGAUGGAGGCCGUCGGGUUGUGAACCUCGUUCGCUCAUGGUUAAGCCGCAACAAUGGUUGUGGUGACGGUAGUGGGUAAAGAAGCGCCGGCUAACUACGUG
RNAcentral lists this ribosomal RNA (480 nucleotides) under uncultured bacterium. Its description in RNAcentral is "partial 16S ribosomal RNA". It matches the Rfam family "Bacterial small subunit ribosomal RNA", at positions 28 to 507 of the family's 1533-position model. The record is from RNAcentral.